GACGAACGCUGGCGGCGUGCUUAACACAUGCAAGUCGAACGAUGAAGCCUAGCUUGCUAGGUGGAUUAGUGGCGAACGGGUGGGUAAUACGUGAGUAACCUACCUUUAACUCUGGGAUAAGCCUGGGAAACUGGGUCUAAUACCGGAUACGACCAAUCUCCGCAUGGGGUGUUGGUGGAAAGCGUUAUGUAGUGGUUAUAGAUGGGCUCACGGCCUAUCAGCUUGUUGGUGAGGUAACGGCUCACCAAGGCGACGACGGGUAGCCGGCCUGAGAGGGUGACCGUCCACACUGGGACUGAGACACGGCCCAGACUCCUACGGGAGGCAGCAGUGGGGAAUAUUGCACAAUGGGCGCAAGCCUGAUGCAGCGACGCCGCGUGAGGGAUGACGGCCUUCGGGUUGUAAACCUCUGUUAGCAGGGAAGAAGAGAAAUUGACGGUACCUGCAGAGAAAGCGCCGGCUAACUACGUG
This 471-nucleotide ribosomal RNA is filed under the name uncultured bacterium. Its description in RNAcentral is "partial 16S ribosomal RNA". It matches the Rfam family "Bacterial small subunit ribosomal RNA", at positions 28 to 507 of the family's 1533-position model. The record is from RNAcentral.